This is a long non-coding RNA of Oncorhynchus keta (chum salmon), 473 nucleotides long. RefSeq lists it as uncharacterized. The transcript is spliced from 3 exons. Lineage: Eukaryota; Metazoa; Chordata; Actinopteri; Salmoniformes; Salmonidae. The record is from RefSeq and is a predicted model, not a curated record.
GUGGUUAGAGUGUAGGGGCGGCAGGGUAGCCUAGUGGUUAGAGUGUAGGGACGGCAGGGUAGCCUAGUGGUUAGAGUGUAGGGGCGGCAGGGUAGCCUAGUGGUUAGAGUGUAGGGACGGCAGGGUAGCCUAGUGGUUAGAGUGUAGGGGCGGCAGGGUAGCCUAGUGGUUAGAGUGUAGGGGCGGCAUGGUAGCCUAGUGGUUAGAGUGUAGGGACGGCAGGGUAGCCUAGUGGUUAGAGUGUAGGGACGGCAGGUAGCCUAGUGGUUAGAAUGUAGGGACGGCAGGGUAGCCUAGUGGUUAGAGUGUAGGGGCGGCAGGGUAGCCUAGUGGUUAGAGCGUAGGGGCGGCAGGGUAGCCUAGUGGUUAGAGUGUAGGGACGGCAGGUAGCCUAGUGGUUAGAGUGUAGGGACGGCAGGUAGCCUAGUGGUUAAAGUGUAGGGACGGCAGGGUAUUCUAGUGGUUAGAGUGUA